GCUCUGACUCGCAGGCGGGGGCACUGCGACAGAACAGCGUGGCUUGCCCCACGCACAGCAAGUUUAAAAUCGCCUCCCUCCCAGGCUUUUAAGUUGGCUGAAGUCAGCCGGACUGACUGCAAAAAUAUCAACACUCCCAGAGCUUAGGAGCUCCUGAAGCGUCAAUUCCGGUUCCACCCACCUACAAAUUCACAUCCGGUGGAGAGGCGGGCGCCGCUUCACCCUGGCAACAGGCCGACUUCCGCGGUGAUUGGUUAAGAGAUGCCACCACUCAAGUCGGAAGGGCCAACCUUGGGACAGACAUGCAUCCUGGGGACAAGUGGGUGUUUGGGAAGCAAACACGCCCUCUCUGGCAUCCGCGUCCUCUCGCCCUCGCGUUGACCUCCCCGCCUCCGUGGCUAGCGCGCAGGCGCGGUACAUAUUUUUUUUUCUUUUUUUUCCUCCUCUGAAACUGUUUACCUGAAUCGAGCAAUGUUUAUAAAUCAGCUCGGUCACCAACCAGCGUCUAGCAGUAAAGUUGGUAAAAUUCCUGCCACUGAACGGAUGGAGAACUACAAGAUUAGCAACUUGAGGCCAGAGAAGAUAAGUGAUCCUCUCACCCAGGGACUGGAACCCAUGUCAUCCUGAAUCCAAGGGUUGUCUUCUCGGUGCUCCACAGAGCACAGUUACGCUAGUCUAGAGUAUCCAGUGGCCCAAAAGAGAGAGUAAAGUGUCAGAAUCUUCACAACAGUCUACAGGAAGACGACACAACCUGGUCCCUGCUCCUUUCUGAUUUUACCUCCUCCCACUCUUCCCCUCUCUCACUCCACUCUACACAUAGAAGGUUCCUGGCUGUGCCUCUAACCUGCAGACCCAUUCCUGCCUAGGGGUCUUUGCAAAGGCUGUUUACUCUAGCUGGAAAGCUCUCUCUCUAUAUCCAUGUGACUCACUCCUUCUCUUCCUUCAGGUCUCAACUCCCAAUGUCACCUCAGCAAAACCUUCCCCAACCACACUAUUAAAACUGCAUCACACCCUGUUAUACACUCUCUAUCCCCCAUCCCUGAUUUAUUUUUCUCCUUGCCACAUAACAUACUGCAUUGUGGAUAAGAAUCCACCUGUCAAUCCAGGGGCCAGAGGUUCAAUCCCUGGUCAAGGAAGAUUCCACAUGCUGUGAAGCAACUCAGCCCAUGCACCACAACUGCUGAGGCUGUGUGCUGCAACUAUGGAAGCCCACACACCCUAGAGCCCACACGCCGCAACUACUGAGCCCAUAUGCUGCAACUACUGAAGCCCACGUGCCUAGAAGACUGUGCUCCACAACAAGAGAAGCCACCACAAUGAGAAGCCCAAACACCACAACGAAGAGUAGUCUCCUGCUCACUGCAACUAGAGAAAGCUGGUGUGCAGCAAUGAAGACACAGUGCAGCCAAAAAUAAAUAAAUAAAUAAA
Molecule: long non-coding RNA, 1428 nt
Organism: Dama dama (fallow deer)
Lineage: Eukaryota; Metazoa; Chordata; Mammalia; Artiodactyla; Cervidae
Exons: 3
Source: RefSeq, a predicted model, not a curated record